Molecule: ribosomal RNA, 109 nt
Filed under: Octodon degus (degu)
Lineage: Eukaryota; Metazoa; Chordata; Mammalia; Rodentia; Octodontidae
Source: RNAcentral
GUCUGAUGUCAUACGACCCUGAACACACUCGAUCUCCUCUGAUCUCAGAAGCUAAGCAUCAGGCCUGAUAAAGUACUUGGACUGGAGAAAUACCCUGCUACUAAAGACA